Molecule: ribosomal RNA, 270 nt
Filed under: uncultured archaeon
Lineage: Archaea
Description: partial 16S ribosomal RNA
Rfam family: Archaeal small subunit ribosomal RNA
Source: RNAcentral
CAGCACCUCAAGUGGUCAGGAUGAUUAUUGGGCCUAAAGCAUCCGUAGCCGGCGCUGUAAGUUUUCGGUUAAAUCUGUACGCUCAACGUACAGGCUGCCGGGAAUACUGCAGCGCUAGGGAGUGGGAGAGGUAGACGGUACUCGGUAGGAAGGGGUAAAAUCCUUUGAUCUAUUGAUGACCACCUGUGGCGAAGGCGGUCUACCAGAACACGUCCGACGGUGAGGGAUGAAAGCUGGGGGAGCAAACCGGAUUAGAUACCCGAGUAGUAC